GGGCAAUUAGCUCAGCUGGCCAGAGCGUUCGGUUCACAUCCGAAAGGGCGCAGGUUCAAGUCCUGCAUUGCCCACCA
This 77-nucleotide transfer RNA is filed under the name Elusimicrobiota bacterium. RNAcentral describes it as "Elusimicrobia bacterium (anaerobic digester metagenome) tRNA-Val". It matches the Rfam family "tRNA". Rfam says of the family: Transfer RNA (tRNA) molecules are approximately 80 nucleotides in length. Their secondary structure includes four short double-helical elements and three loops (D, anti-codon, and T loops). Further hydrogen bonds mediate the characteristic L-shaped molecular structure. tRNAs have two regions of fundamental functional importance: the anti-codon, which is responsible for specific mRNA codon recognition, and the 3' end, to which the tRNAs corresponding amino acid is attached (by aminoacyl-tRNA synthetases). tRNAs cope with the degeneracy of the genetic code in two manners: having more than one tRNA (with a specific anti-codon) for a particular amino acid; and 'wobble' base-pairing, i.e. permitting non-standard base-pairing at the 3rd anti-codon position. Lineage: Bacteria; Pseudomonadati; Elusimicrobiota. The record is from RNAcentral.